CACACACAGAUGUUAGUAGAAGUUGACUGACUAUCUAGCCCACACUGCUGCACAAUCAUUGUUUUUUUGUCUAAUUCUAAUAUGAAUGCACGUGUGAAUUGGCAUAAUGUGUUAUGUGUGUGGGUGUGAAAUUACAUUUCAAUAGCCUGCAAAACAUCCCCAUGCCUAUAGUACCCCCAGUGUUUUAGGUUUUAGAUGUUUAAAUGAAUCACACUUUGUCUUAAAUAGGAUAGGGUAUGUUUAUAUGGAUGUCAAAGCAUGCCUGAUGUUGAUAUGACUCUGAAUAUCUGUUCAGAAAUGUGGCUCCUCAGCCUGAUGGCCUGUCUGGUUAAGAAGACACUGCUUCUGCCAUCCCAUCCCCCGUGCCAUUCCCCUACCCCCCACUGCCCCCCUCUCUCACUUGUACACUUGGGAUUUUUCCGCUUCUGUCCCUGGGCAGCCUCAGUGACCAGGCUCAAGAGGUGUGUCCUGGCUGUGCUGUACAUCUGUGUGCUUAACCCCUUAGCACAGCACCUAUGUUAUAACCUUACUGUCACCAAAAUUUUAAUAUGUAUGUCUUAAUCUGUUACUCUGCACUGUCAUAGCAAUGUUGUUAUGAUGUAGUUUUCAGCAAAUAGUGAAUAGGCCCGCUGGCAACCCCAUCUGCACUGCAGUAAGAGGCUACGGAAUGCUUUUUUGGGGGGUGCAACACCCAUCGCCAUUUUUUUUUUUACAAUACCACUCCACCAGGAAAAAUGUCUAAUUGUUUGCCUGUCUAUUUAUUCAUUCUUUUUUCUUUUCUUUUGUACAAGGCAAGUUGCAGGAAGCAGCUGAAGUAAAGGAAGCCAAGAGCAUCCUCAUUCACAUCAAGGACAGAGACUGUGUGGCUCUGGAGGUGCAGUACCACAGAAGUUGCUACAGAGAGUACACAAGGUUUUUGAGUGAGCCUGUCAGAGCAGAGAAAGAACAGAUUGGGCCAACAUUUGAUCUGAGCUACAAGUUAUUCUGCGAGAGGGUAAUCCGCUAAAGGCUACUGAUCAACCAAGAGGUGCUGAGGAUGAGCCAACUGAGGAAGGCCUUUAUUGCCCUUGUGCAGUCAAGUGAAGGUGUUGAUGCUUCAACCUACAGACAGGAUAUAUUGAAGAAGAGGCUCAGUCGUGAUUUUCCUCAGCUAGUGUUCCACACCCCCGCCAAACGCAACACAUCUGAACUGGUUUUUGCUGAGAACUUGUCGACGAAUGCAGUCUUGGACUUGUUACCAUCAGGUGCGGAGACGACUCAGUCCAGCGAAAUGAGCCAGACAGACAGCGACACAGAAAGGAGGAAGUCAAAGCAACCAACCACAGCAGAGGAGACACGGACACUUUACACAGCAGCUUUGCUUUUGAAGAGGCUGCUUAGUCACAGUCCUGGCAUGUCAUGCCCAUGGCCCCCAACUGCAGUAAACUUCAAUCUCACUGAAGUCAUUUGCUGUGGCAUGCGCAAAAGAUGUGUACCUGGAUGCUUUCACACAGUUCAUGAAAAUGCCGGUUCAUGUGUAUGCCACUUGUUUUGAUUUUUUUAUUUGUUGUAUAGUUAUUAGUGAAUAAAUGAAUACCUGAAUGGUCCUUAUCAUUGAUCAUUAGAUUAUUUCCAUUUAUUAAUGUGAAUAUGAAAAGGUAACCUUAUCAUCCACUUGCAUAAUAGUUGUUGGUGCUAUAAACAAAGCACUGUUACAAUCACUUAGAGGGUUA
Long non-coding RNA from Engraulis encrasicolus (European anchovy), 1712 nucleotides. RefSeq lists it as uncharacterized. The record is from RefSeq and is a predicted model, not a curated record. Lineage: Eukaryota; Metazoa; Chordata; Actinopteri; Clupeiformes; Engraulidae. The transcript is spliced from 3 exons.